CACGUGCACAUGACUCCCUCACACACACACACACACACAUUAAUACAAACUGGAGAAAACUGGUCUCAGGUUUGAUGAACCCUGAGAGGUCUACAGGUGAGUCCAGGUCUACAGGUGGGCCCAGGUGUAAAGGUGAGCCCAGGUCUACAGGUGGGCCCAGGUGUAAAGGUGAGCCCAGGUCUACAGGUGUCUACAAGUGAGCCCAGGUCUACAGGUGUCUCACCCGGUCUGACCUAUGUCUGUAGUAUCUCAAACCUCAACAGGAACUAUCGACUGCUUUACUUUGAAAAUAUUGAUCCUGUUCAUUUUAUUCUGAAGUUUCUUCCCUCAAACAUUUCCUCUUUUGAGUCUGUCCUCUGAUUGGUCAACUCUCUGAACUUUUCUCGUAACUUUCUGGGCUCGUGUCUUCGUCGAGUUGGAACUGAAUCGUUUAGUAAAAUGUUUCCCUGAACGCUUGAAUUGUAGAUCUUCUUACAUGAAGUCGUCCUGAAACACAAACAGCAUUUGGACUCCUUUCUUUUCAUACAAACAACAA
This is a long non-coding RNA of Labrus mixtus (cuckoo wrasse), 535 nucleotides long. RefSeq lists it as uncharacterized. NCBI's taxonomy places the organism in Eukaryota, Metazoa, Chordata, Actinopteri, Labriformes, Labridae. The record is from RefSeq and is a predicted model, not a curated record. The transcript has 3 exons.